CGGCACUGUUGCUAAAACAAGGUUCGCGCUUGCUGCUGAUCAAUUGAGUGGGGUAGCUAGUCGCACAAGGGUGGUCCGCCACUGUGUGUAGCGAAAGUGAUUCGAGACGCAGAAAAUUAAUACUAAUCCAGGCGGCGUGCCCCGGAAGUGACUUCGGAAAAGCAAAAAUUCAAUAACAACCGAAAAAAGCCCCGACUGCGGGCGCGAGUCUACACGCAAGAAAUAGGCUCAAAGAAGCCCCUGUAUUCCCGGAGAAAUAUUAAAAGGUAGCAAAGCGUGGUACGGGUGGAAAAGAAUAAAGACUUCGGAAUGAAGCGAUCCCGAACGGGGGACUCGGGGGCGAUCCCGGGAAUUUCUUUCAAUGAGAAUUCCUGCCAGCCCGCAAGGUUUCCGUGAAAAAUGUGUUUCCCUAUUGGCACAACGGGGCUGUAUUUGUACGCGGGGAAUCAAUGCUAUAGCUGAAUUCGAAUCGAUCGAACUGCUUGUGUAAACCUUUUGUAUCAAUUGUGUGAAGUUAUACUUGGAAUUUCCGCACAAUUCGGCGCCUCCGCCCAGGCCUGAAUUGGAGCCCCAUUCAAUUGAAACAAUUUAAUUCCUUCAAACAAAAACACACAAUAACAUUGCACAAGACACACUAAAUUUCACUUCAAUCCCAUCCCAAACAGGCAUUAGUGAGAUCUGUGGUAGUAAGAGGUGCGGAGUUUGAGGAUAGUAUCUGCUGCAUGUGACAUCAAGUUUCGUCCCUCUUCCCUGUGAACGGGUUAGUAGUAGAGCGUUGCCGGAAAAAGCUGUAAGUUAUGCAUUCAAACGCCAUCCCAAAGAUGUCCCGUUCAAGGAUGUCACAUCCGGCGCUUUGUGUGGAAUAUCAAUGCGACUUCCUGAUUGAGUCGCGGAAAGGGGACUGACAACGGCGAUGAUGUGUUACGGAACGUGAAGUUAGCGGAAGCGUUUCUCGUAAAGUUCCAUGCCAUGGCGAUGGCAUCCCGGUUCGCAUGUCCAGUUCGGUGCGCAGUAGACGCGGCUCUACCAAGAUACUGCGAGCUGAAACAGUCUCUAGCGAUAACCUUCCAACGGACCCAAAUCUCUUCGAAUGUUCUCCGUCGUGGUACGGUGGUUCCUCUCUCCGCAAGGAACCUUUCACUGUAUAUCAUCCGGGCAAGUUACCAAAGUUACCUCGGUACCCUUGCCGGUUGCUGAUAUGAAUAUUUAUCACAACGACUUUCAAAACUUUUAGGCUCGCCGUUUCCCAGCUCGUGCCAGCUCGGGGGGGGAGUGAAAACUUUCCCAGGAAAACUGGUGCAGAAAGGAACAAACCCUUUCAACGAUGCUGGUGGAGGGCGCUGGGGAUUUCUGAAGGUUAUGUUCUAUAGAAAACCGGCAACCCCAAAGUAGGAAGACUUACGGAAGAUUGUUUUGUCUUAAAAUUCGUGUUAUGUCAUUCGAGAAGGGUUUGAAGAAAACGACAUUAAAGUGUUCAUAGAGUGUAUCCUGA
Long non-coding RNA from Anopheles merus, 1492 nucleotides. RefSeq lists it as uncharacterized. NCBI's taxonomy places the organism in Eukaryota, Metazoa, Arthropoda, Insecta, Diptera, Culicidae. The transcript is spliced from 3 exons. The record is from RefSeq and is a predicted model, not a curated record.